UGGCGAAAUCCAACCAAGCUCGGGUAAACGGCGGGAGUAACUAUGACUCUCUCACCCCCUUAAAUAUGGCGCUCACCAAUGCUCAAAUCUUGGCUGUGAUUGACAGCUGGGAAGAAACAGUCGGUCAGUUUCCAGUGAUAACGCACCAUGUACCAUUAGGUGGCGGUCUGCAAGGAACGCUCCAUUGUUACGAGAUCCCCCUAGCAGCUCCUUAUGGGGUUGGCUUUGCUAAGAAUGGGCCUACCCGCUGGCAAUACAAACGGACAAUCAAUCAAGUCGUCCACAGAUGGGGAUCCCACACAGUCCCUUUUCUAUUAGAACCGGAUAACAUCAACGGCAAAACCUGCACAGCAUCGCACCUAUGUCAUAAUACUCGAUGCCACAAUCCCUUGCACUUGUGCUGGGAGUCACUAGACGACAACAAAGGCAGAAACUGGUGCCCGGGUCCAACGGGGGAUGUGUCCAUGCGGUGGUUUGUUUAAGGCAGGGUCCGUUGUACGCCCGGGGGCGACUGUGGCAGGUCCUCAACAAAGGGGCAGUCACUUUGUGGUAUAAGGUCUGAGGUUACUAGAUCGGGUGGGUCAGCCCACGGGCAAAACGCUGACCGUACCAAGUAGGAGAGAAAAGUCACAGGUAGGCACCUGGUGGCUAGUGGCAUGCACAAUAGCUUGCAUCGUGCAUGUUGCGAGACCGUCAAAUUGCGGGAAAGGGGUCACACAGCUGUCUAGUACUAACCCACCGGCGAAAGCGGGGUGGGGGCCUUGCACAGGAUAUAGUAAUAAGCUAGCAGACACGGUCCUAACCACGCAGCCAAGCCCUAACCAAACACACACUGUGUGUUUGUAUGGGUGCAGUUCACAGACUAAAUGUCGGUCGGGGGCUUCGGCCUCAUAAGAUAUAGUCGGCCCUUCCCUUAAUGGGGACCUGGAGAAGAGGUGAUGCAACACCAGAGCUCCGGAGACUCGGGGGUAGCACCCGAGUUUGGAAUCAGCGUAAGGUAGCCAAAUGCCUCGUCAU
Molecule: non-coding RNA, 1017 nt
Filed under: Badhamia polycephala
Lineage: Eukaryota; Evosea; Eumycetozoa; Physariida; Physaraceae
Description: group I intron
Rfam family: Group I catalytic intron (bases 649-925)
Source: RNAcentral